Molecule: transfer RNA, 88 nt
Filed under: Hortaea werneckii EXF-2000
Lineage: Eukaryota; Fungi; Ascomycota; Dothideomycetes; Mycosphaerellales; Teratosphaeriaceae
Description: tRNA-Ile (TAT) (tRNA-Ile-TAT-2-1)
Rfam family: tRNA
About the family: Transfer RNA (tRNA) molecules are approximately 80 nucleotides in length. Their secondary structure includes four short double-helical elements and three loops (D, anti-codon, and T loops).
Source: RNAcentral
UCCUCGAUGGUCUAGUGGCUAUGAGUGAGUUUCACCACAAUUUCCGACUUAUACGCGGGAGACCUGGGUUCGAUUCCCAGUCGGGGAG